Long non-coding RNA from Onychomys torridus (southern grasshopper mouse), 2266 nucleotides. RefSeq lists it as uncharacterized. The record is from RefSeq and is a predicted model, not a curated record. Lineage: Eukaryota; Metazoa; Chordata; Mammalia; Rodentia; Cricetidae. The transcript has 4 exons.
AUCCCGGGAGCCUAGGCGAGCCCGGGCGGAAGGGCGGAAGGCGCAGUCAUCAACAGAACAGGGGCGCGGCCCCUCCCUCCAACCCUGGCCGCCCCGCCUGCCAGGCGCCAGGACUGUGAAGUGCGCAGAGCCAGCCUCACCCUCGUGGGCGUGCGCCCGGACUACAGGGUUGCCUGAGACUGACGGUGAUACACAGCAAGGGGGACAGUUAAGGGACGCCAAGCAUAGUGCAACCCUGAGGAAGCCUCACCAGAGGAUGUACUCUGCUCUGCCUGAGACUUUCUUUAUUAGGAACUCCAGCUGGCUGCCUUAAAGGUCCUGUCUUCUUCAUGCCAAUUUGUAACAAAUAGGGACAAUUAUUCCCAGCAUCUAGCCAAGACCGGAACACAAACAAGUACUUCAAAUGUUUAAAGCAAGUCUGAUUAAUUCGCCAAAGGAUUUGUAAUAUUACCUGCAGAAGGAAUGGUAUCUCCCACGGAUCCAGGGUCUCGCUUUCUUUUCUUGGGUAGUUUUGUUUUGCAAAGUUGCUCAAAAUGAAUCUGCAUGGCACUGUCUAUGGUAAGGAAGUUACAUUGUAGCAGACCACUUAAGGUGGUAGCAGCCAUUUCUCGAACCUGGAGAGAUAAUUAAUCAUUUCUAUUAGAACUGAGAUCCUAAGUCUGAGAUGAUAAAGGACAGAGUGGCACUGAAAAGUUGGGUGGAGAACUUUCUUAGAAUUGUAUGUAAAAUUUACUUUUUCUUUCAUUUUUAUGACAGCCAUUACCAGAUUCCCCAGGUUUCUGUGGCCUCAAAUGGAUAAAAGCUGUAUCAGGGUUACAAAAGUAUAACUAUUAUACAUAAAAUAAAAUUUCUCCACAAAUUAACACAUAAAAUAAUAAAUGUUCAAAAAAUAAACAAGAAAGUCAACAUUUUGCUCUGUAUUCCUUGAGAGGUUCUUUGUACUGUCAUUUGGUUGCCCUGUUUUCUAUAAAUAUGUGCUACUGGGACUGAAUUUGAGAGCUAAGCAAGUACUCCAUCACUGAGGCCUCUUUUUAAUUUGUAUUUUGAAACAAGGUCUCACACAAUUGCCCAGGUCCCUACCUAUGUUAGAACAGUGUUCUAUCAGUGAGUUCCAUCCCUAAUCCCUUUUGUUUUCAGGUAGACAGGAUCUUGUUAAGUUGCCCAGGCUGAUGCUCAUGAACUUCCAAUCUUCUUUCCUCAAACAUCAGCGUAUCACAGGUGUGCACUACCACAUCCAGCUAGACAGUUACUGCAUUUACCUUUUGAUGGAUUUUGACUGAUUUAGGAUAACCCAAUGUGAAGGACUCAACAAUUUACGAACUCUGUACUAUCAACUCUGUACAAAGAGUAAUGCUGACAUGCUGUAACACAGAAUUGGAAUGUGGGCAGUAGUCACACUGGCCAGCAGCAACACACUGCUUUGUGGAUAAACAGAAGACAUAUUAAAAGUGCUGCCUGCCUCCUCUGAUCUCACACCUGUGUCUGCCCUCCUUUCUCGUCAGCACCUCCUCCCUACACAGACCAACCUUGGUAAGAACCAGGAAGAACAAUGAUAGUACAACAGCUCACCAGCAGGUUGAGCAACAUUGUAUUUUUCUUGAAUAAUUUACUUUUUUUACUAUUUGUAAUUAUUACUUGCUCCAUGAUGCACACCUGGAACUCAGACCAUCAGGCUUGGCAAUAGGAGCCUUUUACUUGCUAAAUUAUCUCACUGGGCCUGAAUUUUAUUUAUAAAAAGAUACUUUUCACUACAGAUCUAAGAAAACACUACUUUUAAUUUUGAUGUUCCGAGAAGACUCAUUCUAAGUGACAGUAAGCUAAGGACCAUACAUUUUCUUGGGAGGAUGUUUUUCAAUUAAUAAUAGAUUGAAAAUAAAAACAACUUUUCUUUACAGCCAGUCUCAUCAACAGUUAGAUUUAAGUAGUAGUGGUCCACAGGAAAGAAGGUGACCACUUCUGAUCAUUACUUGCUUUCUCAAUUUUUCACUUUGUCUAAGUUCUUGCUCUGGUUUACUAAGACUCUUCAAAUCCAGAUUUGACUUUCAUAGUUCUUUCCAUUAUUAACAAAAUUUGCAGACCAGAACUAUAGAGGCAAAGUGAAAAGCAUCCAUUUCCUCAACGAGCACAGCCAAACCCUGUGAUGAGGCCUGAGCAGCUUUACUGGGUUCAGUAAGCAAAUGUCAUCCAGACUGUAGGGUACUCACAGACUGUUUAUAACAAAUUCAGUGAGCCAGGUGGUGGCACACACCUUUAAUCCCAGCACUCA